This is a long non-coding RNA of Ochotona princeps (American pika), 376 nucleotides long. RefSeq lists it as uncharacterized. The record is from RefSeq and is a predicted model, not a curated record. NCBI's taxonomy places the organism in Eukaryota, Metazoa, Chordata, Mammalia, Lagomorpha, Ochotonidae. The transcript is spliced from 3 exons.
AAGGCUAUUUCAGAGAACUACCUCUACUCCAUGCGUGAGACAUGCCUGAUGGUGACUGAGCUGCUCUCAGAGCUCCUCUCUGGCCCAGGGUCAACAGACUUCUCCUGUGAAGCCCCAUCAUGUGUUGAUGAGGAAGUGAAGCAAGGAGAAGAGAAAUUUAUAGAGUGUCUUCAUGAACAGGCUUAGAACUCAUGCUUUGUGGCAUUUUCUCCCCACUGAAGAGCCGGCCUGCCUGGUUCAUGCCCCAUCCUACUGUUCCUGGCUCUGUGACCUCAGGCUGCUGCAGUUUCUGACUCUGGGUGAUCUAGGAAGCCACACUUCUCAGCUUGAAGGAUGCACCUCAACACAGUUGGCCAGGGCUGCAUGGAUUCCCAAG